UAGAGUUUGAUCCUGGCUCAGGACGAACGCUGGCGGCGCGCUUAACACAUGCAAGUCGAGCGAGAACCAGGCCUUCGGGCCUGGGGAAAGCGGCGAACGGGUGAGUAACACGUGAGUAACCUGCCCUCGGCACCGGGAUAGCCCGGGGAAACCCGGAUUAAUACCGGAUAGCCAUUCGAGCUCUCGAGCUCGAAUGAAAAGGUAGCUUCGGCCUCUGGCCGAGGAUGGGCUCGCGGCGGAUUAGCUUGUUGGUGGGGUAAUGGCCCACCAAGGCGACGAUCCGUAGCUGGUCUGAGAGGACGAUCAGCCACACUGGGACUGAGACACGGCCCAGACUCCUACGGGAGGCAGCAGUGGGGAAUCUUGCGCAAUGGGCGAAAGCCUGACGCAGCGACGCCGCGUGCGGGAAGAAGGCCUUCGGGUUGUAAAC
RNAcentral lists this ribosomal RNA (430 nucleotides) under uncultured Actinomycetes bacterium. RNAcentral's name for it is "bacterial SSU rRNA". It matches the Rfam family "Bacterial small subunit ribosomal RNA", at positions 1 to 430 of the family's 1533-position model. The record is from RNAcentral. Lineage: Bacteria; Bacillati; Actinomycetota; Actinomycetes.